AUGACAAGGAUGGGACCAAGUGGCCUGUGCGGGGAGUCCUGCGGAGCCUGCUCCGAGUUCCCAGGCACUCCUGCGCCCCCGCCCCAGUCUCAGGACAGUCACAUCAGGACGGGAUGGGCCCCCCAGGCACUCGGCUCAGGGCUGCUCUGGACCGAGGGGCCUUGUUGUGGGGGGCAGGGGGGCACCCGGGCACCUGGGAGGGUCCUCCUUGGGUUUGACCGGCCUUCCGCUUCCUGCUCCAUCGGGACCUGGCCACCUCCCCUCUCGGUCCUCCAGGAGGAUCCGGAGCCCCCCCACCCAACUCUAGCCCCAGAGUCCACCGGGCUCGCCCACCCUGCUGAGGGACCCCGCCUCGGAGCGGCUCGCCCACCUCCCCGCGGCUCUCGACGCCUCUCCCUCCUCAGAUCUCGGGGAAGCCCCCCCUUCCCAAGACCCUGCUGCCCUCGUGGCUCCUGGACCCCCUCUGGGGCUGAAGGCGGUUCCUGCGCAAGAGCCAGCACGCAUGUGAGCUCUAACAGGGGUACACGCUGUGGCCACUCGGCCACCACGCAGCUGGCAGCUGGGGGGUGGGAGGGCCCGGGGGCAGGAGCCUCAUGCCGCUACCCCCUGCCUCCCCCGUCACCAGCUUCCGACCCCCCGGCCCACCCGCCCCCACAGGUGCUGAGUCACAGGGGCUCCCCCUCGGGCUGCGAGGGUGUCGGAACAGAGGGUGAGUCACAGAGGCAGCCGGGCGCGUGGCGGGAGGACAGCCGGAGUCCUGGGUGCACAGGGAUGCACGCACACACAGCAGCCCUGCUGGGUCACAGCGCAUGCACACCAGCACCCAGACACACACAGGCCACACAGAUUUACACACCCACUGACACCCCCAGGCACACACAGCCUGUCUGUGCCCAGGGGGUCCCCCGGGAGCUUCCUGGAGGGGAAACUGAGGGGGCUGCUGGCCGACUUGCACAGGGACCCCACAGCAGCCUCUUCCCUGCUCCAGGGCAGCCCGGGGUCCGGGGCGCCUCCUCUGGUCCUUGGCGAGGGGGCGCCUGCUGGGAAAGGUGCUGGGCCGGCCUUGGCCGGGGAGUCUCAGCAGCCAACACGCCUGGGGUUUGCGGGCCAGCGUCCUGA
This is a long non-coding RNA of Bos indicus x Bos taurus (hybrid cattle), 1119 nucleotides long. NCBI's taxonomy places the organism in Eukaryota, Metazoa, Chordata, Mammalia, Artiodactyla, Bovidae. The record is from Ensembl.